UGGGGAAUAUUGCACAAUGGGCGCAAGCCUGAUGCAGCCAUGCCGCGUGUGUGAAGAAGGCCUUCGGGUUGUAAAGCACUUUCAGCGAGGAGGAAGGUGGUGAGCUUAAUACGCUCAUCAAUUGACGUUACUCGCAGAAGAAGCACCGGCUAACUCCGUGCCAGCAGCCGCGGUAAUACGGAGGGUGCAAGCGUUAAUCGGAAUUACUGGGCGUAAAGCGCACGCAGGCGGUUUGUUAAGUCAGAUGUGAAAUCCCCGGGCUCAACCUGGGAACUGCAUUUGAAACUGGCAAGCUAGAGUCUCGUAGAGGGGGGUAGAAUUCCAGGUGUAGCGGUGAAAUGCGUAGAGAUCUGGAGGAAUACCGGUGGCGAAGGCGGCCCCCCUGGACGAAGACUGACGCUCAGGUGCGAAAGCGUGGGGCAGCAAACAGGAUUAGAUACCCUGGUAGUCCACGCUGUAAACGAUGUCGAUUUGGAGGUUGUGCCCUUGAGGCGUGGCUUCCGGAGCUAACGCGUUAAUCGACCGCCUGGGGAGUACGGCCGCAAGGUUAAAACUCAAAUGAAUUG
This 566-nucleotide ribosomal RNA is filed under the name uncultured bacterium. RNAcentral describes it as "partial 16S ribosomal RNA". It matches the Rfam family "Bacterial small subunit ribosomal RNA", at positions 355 to 912 of the family's 1533-position model. The record is from RNAcentral.